CGGCACCUCAAGUGGUCAGGAUGAUUAUUGGGCCUAAAGCAUCCGUAGCCGGCUCUGUAAGUUUUCGGUUAAAUCUGUACGCUCAACGUACAGGCUGCCGGGAAUACUGCAGAGCUAGGGAGUGGGAGAGGUAGACGGUACUCGGUAGGAAGGGGUAAAAUCCCUUGAUCUAUUGAUGACCACCUGUGGCGAAGGCGGUCUACCAGAACACGUCCGACGGUGAGGGAUGAAAGCUGGGGGAGCAAACCGGAUUAGAUACCCGCGUAGUCC
Molecule: ribosomal RNA, 270 nt
Filed under: uncultured archaeon
Lineage: Archaea
Description: partial 16S ribosomal RNA
Rfam family: Archaeal small subunit ribosomal RNA
Source: RNAcentral